This 669-nucleotide long non-coding RNA is filed under the name Numida meleagris (helmeted guineafowl). RNAcentral describes it as "lncRNA (ENSNMEG00000003971.1)". Lineage: Eukaryota; Metazoa; Chordata; Aves; Galliformes; Numididae. The record is from RNAcentral.
CAUUAUAGCAGGCGGCCGGGAGACAAGUGAGAUGCUUCUGUCCUUUGAUUAGGUUGGAAGUUUGCAGGGUCAGCUUUCCUUGGUCGUCGUGGUGAGUACGCAGCGACGUGCCAUAGAGAAAUUACAGCUGAUUCCAAAAUCACUUGGAAAAGUGUUUUAUGGUCCAAGAUUUGUGGGAACAGAGGGGAGGAAGACAUUCCAGGAUAUUUUCGUAAACCGGUUCACCAAGGACUGAAACCCAUGCCAGUGAUUUACUGCACCUCCCCUGCAUCCUGGCACACCGCCCAAGUAUUAAUCCGCUGUGCAUUUCAGUCUCGAGCAAGAGUUUGUGCUGAAGCCGUGAGUUUUCCCAAGAAAGCAGAGAUGAGACACAUGUACCAGGUGGAAGCGCACAGCGAGUCCUGUCCUUGCGAGGUGGCGUUCUCAGCAGCUCUGCCACAGUCUGGUAAGAAGCAGCCGCCUCUACACAGACUGAGGUUUCGGAGAUGCUCAAAGAUGACGCCUCACGGGAGUGGAGACGAUGCUGUCGCCCUGCAACUCCCUCCAGGACCCCAUGGCCCCAGCCCCUCUGCAGCUCCCUCCUGCAUCAGUGCAAGAGGGCACAGGCUUCCGAAGCUGGCGUCAGGGGGGAAUUGUUCUUCUCAUGGCACAUCUCAGCCAGCUGGGUAA